CCUACGGGUGGCAGCAGUGGGGAAUAUUGGGCAAUGGGCGCAAGCCUGACCCAGCAACGCCGCGUGAAGGAAGAAGGCUUUCGGGUUGUAAACUUCUUUUCUCAGGGACGAAGCAAGUGACGGUACCUGAGGAAUAAGCCUCGGCUAACUACGUGCCAGCAGCCGCGGUAAUACGUAGGUGGCAAGCGUUAUCCGGAUUUACUGGGUGUAAAGGGCGCGUAGGCGGGAAAGCAAGUCGGAUGUGAAAACCAGGGGCUCAACCUGUGGCCUGCAUUGGAAACUGUUUUUCUUGAGUGCUGGAGAGGCAGGCGGAAUUCCUAGUGUAGCGGUGAAAUGCGUAGAUAUUAGGAGGAACACCAGUGGCGAAGGCGGUCUGCGGGACAGCAACUGACGCUGAGGCGCGAAAGCGUGGGGAGCAAACAGGAUUAGAUACCCUUGUAGUC
RNAcentral lists this ribosomal RNA (443 nucleotides) under uncultured bacterium. RNAcentral describes it as "partial 16S ribosomal RNA". It matches the Rfam family "Bacterial small subunit ribosomal RNA", at positions 338 to 795 of the family's 1533-position model. The record is from RNAcentral.